CAAGACAACUUUACGGAGUUGACGAUUGACGGAGCGAAGCGACGUCAAAGCGUUCAUUAAAGUCGAGUUGGCUUAGGGAUACGUUCGUUGGGUAGGGGAGCGUUCUGUAAGCCUGUGAAGGUGUGUCGUGAGGCAUGCUGGAGGUAUCAGAAGUGCGAAUGCUGACAUAAGUAACGAUAAAGCGGGUGAAAAGCCCGCUCGCCGGAAGACCAAGGGUUCCUGUCCAACGUUAAUCGGGGCAGGGUGAGUCGACCCCUAAGGCGAGGCCGAAAGGCGUAGUCGAUGGGAAACGGGUUAAUAUUCCCGUACUUGGUGUUACUGCGAAGGGGGGACGGAGAAGGCUAUGUUGGCCGGGCGACGGUUGUCCCGGUUUAAGCGUGUAGGUGUGUGUUCCAGGUAAAUCCGGUUCACUUUAACACUGAGGCGUGACGACGAGGCACUACGGUGCUGAAGCAACAAAUGCCCUGCUUCCAGGAAAAGCCUCUAAGCAUCAGGUAACAUCAAAUCGUACCCCAAACCGACACAGGUGGUCAGGUAGAGAAUACCAAGGCGCUUGAGAGAACUCGGGUGAAGGAACUAGGCAAAAUGGUGCCGUAACUUCGGGAGAAGGCACGCUGACACGUAGGUGAAGUGAUUUACUCA
Molecule: ribosomal RNA, 642 nt
Filed under: Salmonella enterica subsp. enterica serovar Typhimurium
Lineage: Bacteria; Pseudomonadati; Pseudomonadota; Gammaproteobacteria; Enterobacterales; Enterobacteriaceae
Description: partial 23S ribosomal RNA
Rfam family: Bacterial large subunit ribosomal RNA
Source: RNAcentral